GACGAACGCUGGCGGCGUGCUUAACACAUGCAAGUCGAACGGAAAGGCCCUGCUUUUGUGGGGUGCUCGAGUGGCGAACGGGUGAGUAACACGUGAGUAACCUGCCCUUGACUUUGGGAUAACUUCAGGAAACUGGGGCUAAUACCGGAUAGGAGCUCCUGCUGCAUGGUGGGGGUUGGAAAGUUUCGGCGGUUGGGGAUGGACUCGCGGCUUAUCAGCUUGUUGGUGGGGUAGUGGCUUACCAAGGCUUUGACGGGUAGCCGGCCUGAGAGGGUGACCGGCCACAUUGGGACUGAGAUACUGCACAGACUCCUACGGGAGGCAGCAGUGGGGAAUAUUACACAAUGGGCGGAAGCCUGAUGCAGCAACGCCGCGUGCGGGAUGACGGCCUUCGGGUUGUAAACCGCUUUCGCCUGUGACGAAGCGUGAAUGACGGUAAUGGGUAAAGAAGCACCGGCUAACUACGUG
RNAcentral lists this ribosomal RNA (468 nucleotides) under uncultured bacterium. RNAcentral's name for it is "partial 16S ribosomal RNA". It matches the Rfam family "Bacterial small subunit ribosomal RNA", at positions 28 to 507 of the family's 1533-position model. The record is from RNAcentral.